CACGGAGUUAACCGAUCCUUAUUCAUAAAGUACAUGCAAACGGGUAUGCAUACCCGACUUUAUUCCUCUAUAAAAGAAGUUUACAACCCAUAGGGCAGUCAUCCUUCACGCUACUUGGCUGGUUCAGGCUCUCGCCCAUUGACCAAUAUUCCUCACUGCUGCCUCCCGUAGGAGUUUGGACCGUGUCUCAGUUCCAAUGUGGGGGACCUUCCUCUCAGAACCCCUAUCCAUCGAAGACUAGGUGGGCCGUUACCCCGCCUACUAUCUAAUGGAACGCAUCCCCAUCGUCUACCGGAAUACCUUUAAUCAUGUGAACAUGCGGACUCAUGAUGCCAUCUUGUAUUAAUCUUCCUUUCAGAAGGCUGUCCAAGAGUAGACGGCAGGUUGGAUACGUGUUACUCACCCGUGCGCCGGUCGCCAUCGGCCUUAGCAAGCUAAGCCAUGCUCGCCCCUGACUUGCAUGUGUAAGCCUGUAGCUAGCGUUCAUUCCUGACGCCGU
Molecule: ribosomal RNA, 499 nt
Filed under: uncultured Bacteroides sp.
Lineage: Bacteria; Pseudomonadati; Bacteroidota; Bacteroidia; Bacteroidales; Bacteroidaceae
Description: partial 16S ribosomal RNA
Source: RNAcentral